Molecule: long non-coding RNA, 363 nt
Filed under: Micromonas commoda
Lineage: Eukaryota; Viridiplantae; Chlorophyta; Mamiellophyceae; Mamiellales; Mamiellaceae
Description: long non-coding RNA (MCOM_LNC000261)
Source: RNAcentral
UCCCAUCUCGAUAGGUGCUGAUUGAACGCCAAGGCGUCCCGGAACAUCUGGUACAUGGUCGUGACGCUCGAGGUGUCCCAUGCACUGAUAUCUUUGUUGAACGCGGAGGCAAAACUGAACAUCUCUUUCAUGUCCGUGACGCUCGAGGUGUCCCAUCUACCGAUAUCUUGAUUGAACGCGGCGGCUUCAUUGAACAUCCUGUACAUGGUCGUGACGCUCGAGGUGUCCCAUCUACCGAUAUCUUGAUUGAACGCGGCGGCUUCGUCGAACAUCCUGUACAUGGUCGUGACGCUCGAGGUAUCCCAUCGCGAUAUAUCCGCGUUGAAGGACCCUUUGUUGUAGAACAGCUCGUUCAUCUCCGUC